RNAcentral lists this ribosomal RNA (402 nucleotides) under bacterium. Its description in RNAcentral is "partial 16S ribosomal RNA". It matches the Rfam family "Bacterial small subunit ribosomal RNA", at positions 355 to 776 of the family's 1533-position model. The record is from RNAcentral.
UGGGGAAUUUUGCACAAUGGGGAAAACCCUGAUGCAGCGACGCCGCGUGAUUUAGAAGGCCUUCGGGUUGUAAAAAUCUUUUUUACGGGAUGAAAAUGACAGUACCGUAAGAAUAAGGUCCGGCUAAAUACGUGCCAGCAGCCGCGGUAAUACGUAUGGACCGAGCGUUGUCCGGAAUCAUUGGGCGUAAAGGGUACGUAGGCGGCCUAGUAAGUUAGAAGUGAAAUAAUAUAGCUCAACUAUAUAAAGCUUUUAAAACUGCUAGGCUUGAGAGAUGGAAGGGAAAGUGGAAUUCCUAGUGUAGCGGUGAAAUGCGCAGAUAUUAGGAAGAAUACCGGUGGCGAAGGCGACUUUCUGGUCAUCAUCUGACGCUGAGGUACGAAAGCGUGGGUAGCAAACAGG